AGGUCGGGCGCAGGCGGGGUGACCCGGGGAAGGGGCGCGCACAGAGACAGAGGGAGCCAGCCGGGCCCCACGGUGUCCUCGGACGCCUCCGAAAUCUCCCUGCGUGUUUGUUUCUUCGGAGCUUCACCGGAGCCUGACUCUGGAACCGGCCUGUCUGCCUGCUGCAGUCUGUCAUUCAACAUUUAUUCAACCAAAAAUACUAAGUCAGCUCUAUACAAACUAAUGGAAGGAUACAGCUAUGCAAAUAUAGAACACUAAAGUGUUACAUGACAGAUGUAUGAGAAAAAAGACCUUUUGCUGCUCCUCAGGAUGGCGGGACUUGGGGGCCAUGUACAUGAUGAUGGCACUGCCAAAGAAGAGUCCCACCACGCAGAGGUGGGAGGAGCAGGUGGAGAAGGCCUUUCUGCGGCCCUCCCCAGACUGGAUCCUCAGGAUGGCCGCCAGGAUGUGCGAGUAGGAGACAAGCACCAGGCUGGGUGGCCCCACCAGGAAGAACACGCAGGCUGCAAAGAUGACCACCUGGUUGAGCCAGGUGUCAGCACAGGCCAGCCUGAGG
Homo sapiens (human) is the source of this 556-nucleotide long non-coding RNA. Ensembl annotates it as ARHGEF35 antisense RNA 1. Its record names the gene ARHGEF35-AS1. The record is from Ensembl. Lineage: Eukaryota; Metazoa; Chordata; Mammalia; Primates; Hominidae.